Molecule: ribosomal RNA, 1464 nt
Filed under: uncultured Bordetella sp.
Lineage: Bacteria; Pseudomonadati; Pseudomonadota; Betaproteobacteria; Burkholderiales; Alcaligenaceae
Description: partial 16S-23S ribosomal RNA intergenic spacer
Rfam family: Bacterial small subunit ribosomal RNA
Source: RNAcentral
GGUUCGAUUCUGGCUCAGAUUGAACGCUGGCAGGAUGCUUACACAUGCAAGUCAGACGGCAGCACGGACUUCGGUCUGGUAGAGUGGCGAACAGGUAGGUAAUGUAUCGGAACGUGCCUAGUAGCGGGGGAUAACUACGCGAAAGCGUAGCUAAUACCGCAUACGCCCUUUAAGGGAAAGCAGGGGACCUUCGGGCCUCGCACUAUUAGAGCGGCCGAUAUCGGAUUAGCUAGUUGAUGGGGUAAGCUUGGCUCACCAAGGCGACGAUCCGUAGCUGGUUUGAAGGACGACCGGCAGCCACACUGGGACUGAGACUGGCCCAGACUCCUACGGGAGGCAGCAGGAGCGAUUUGGACAAUGGGGAAACCCUGAUCCAGCCAUCCGCGUGUGCGAUGAAGGCCUUCGGGUUUGUAGCGCGCGGCGGGAAAGAAACGGCACAGGAUAAUACGUGCCUUUGACGAACACCUGCAGAAUCAGCACCGGCUAACUACGUGCCAGCAGCCGCGGUAAUACAUGGUGCAAGCGUUAAUCGGAAUUACUGGGCGUAAAGCGUGCGCAGGCGGUUCGAAGAAAGUCUUGAAAUCCCAGAGCUUAACUUUGGAACUGCAUUUUUAACUACCGAGCUAGAGUGUGUCAGAGGGAGGUGGAAUUCCGCGUGUAGCAGUGAAAUGCGUAGAUAUGCGGAGGAACACCGAUGGCGAAGGCAGCCUCCUGGAUAACACUGACGCUCAUGCACAGCGUGGGGAGCAAACAGGAUUAGAUACCCUGGUAGUCCACGCCCUAAACGAUAUCGCUAGCUGUUGGGGCCUUCGGGCCUUGGUAGCGCAGCUAACGCGUGAAGUUGACCGCCCUGGGGAGUACGGUCGCAAGAUUAAAACUCAAAGGUGCGGCGGGGACCCGCACAAGCGGUGGAUGAUGUGGAUUAAUUCGAUGCAACGCGAAAAACCUUACCUACACUUGACAUGUCUGGAAUCCCGAAGAGAUUUGGGAGUGCUCGCAAGAGAACCGGAACACAGGUGCUGCAUGGCUGUCGUCAGCUCGUGUCGUGAGAUGUUGGGUUAAGUCCCGCAACGAGCGCAGCCCUUGUCAUUGGAACACUUACGAAAGGGCACUCUAAUGAGACUGCCAGUGACAAACCGGAGGAAGGUGAGGAUGACGUCAAGUCCUCGCCGGCCCUUAUGGGUAAGGAUUCACACGUCAUACAAUGGUCGGGACAGAGGGUCGCCAACCUUGCGAGGAGCCAAUCCCAGAAACCCGAUCGUGGUCGGAUUGCAGUCUGCAACUCGACUGCGUGAAGUCGGAAUCGCUGGUGUCACGGAUCAGCAUGUCGCGGUGAAUACGUUCCCGGGUCUUGUACACCGCCCGUCACCAUGCGGGAGUGGAAGUUUUGCAGAAGUAGUUAGCUAGCAGGAGGGCGAUUACCACGGUAGGAUUCAUGACUGGGGUGAAGUCGUAACAAGGUAA